Molecule: ribosomal RNA, 301 nt
Filed under: uncultured bacterium
Lineage: Bacteria
Description: partial 16S ribosomal RNA
Rfam family: Bacterial small subunit ribosomal RNA
Source: RNAcentral
CAGUAGCCGCGGUAAUACGUAGGUGGCAAGCGUUGUCCGGAAUUAUUGGGCGUAAGCGCGCGCAGGUGGUUUAAUAAGUCUGAUGUGAAAGCCCACGGCUCAACCGUGGAGGGUCAUUGGAAACUGUUAAACUUGAGUGCAGGAGAGAAAGGUGGAAUUCCUAGUGUAGCGGUGAAAUGCGUAGAGAUUAGGAGGAACACCAGUGGCGAAGGCGGCUUUUUGGCCUGUAACUGACACUGAGGCGCGAAAGCGUGGGGAGCAAACAGGAUUAGAUACCCCCGUAGUCCCUGUCUCUUAUACA